RNAcentral lists this ribosomal RNA (667 nucleotides) under uncultured Haemophilus sp. RNAcentral describes it as "bacterial SSU rRNA". It matches the Rfam family "Bacterial small subunit ribosomal RNA", at positions 143 to 802 of the family's 1533-position model. Lineage: Bacteria; Pseudomonadati; Pseudomonadota; Gammaproteobacteria; Pasteurellales; Pasteurellaceae. The record is from RNAcentral.
AUAACGACGGGAAACUGUCGCUAAUACCGCGUAGUGUCGAGAGACGAAAGUGCGGGACUGAGAGGCCGCAUGCCAUAGGAUGAGCCCAAGUGGGAUUAGGUAGUUGGUGGGGUAAAGGCCUACCAAGCCUGCGAUCUCUAGCUGGUCUGAGAGGAUGACCAGCCACACUGGAACUGAGACACGGUCCCAGACUCCUACGGGAGGGCAGCAGUGGGGGAAUACUGCGCAAUGGGGGGAACCCUGACGCAGCCAUGCCGCGUGAAUGAAGAAGGCCUUCGGGUUGUAAAGUUCUUUCGGUAUUGAGGAAGGUUGAUGUGUUAAUAGCACAUCAAAUUGACGUUAAAUACAGAAGAAGCACCGGCUAACUCCGUGCCAGCAGCCGCGGUAAUACGGAGGGUGCGAGCGUUAAUCGGAAUAACUGGGCGUAAAGGGCACGCAGGCGGUUAUUUAAGUGAGGUGUGAAAGCCCCGGGCUUAACCUGGGAAUUGCAUUUCAGACUGGGUAACUAGAGUACUUUAGGGAGGGGUAGAAUUCCACGUGUAGCGGUGAAAUGCGUAGAGAUGUGGAGGAAUACCGAAGGCGAAGGCAGCCCCUUGGGAAUGUACUGACGCUCAUGUGCGAAAGCGUGGGGAGCAAACAGGAUUAGAUACCCUGGUAGUCCACGCUG